CCUACGGGUGGCAGCAGUCGAGAAUCAUUCACAAUGGGGGAAACCCUGAUGGUGCGACGCCGCGUGGGGGAAUGAAGGUCUUCGGAUUGUAAACCCCUGUCAUGUGGGAGCAAAUUAAAAAGAUAGUACCACAAGAGGAAGAGACGGCUAACUCUGUGCCAGCAGCCGCGGUAAUACAGAGGUCUCAAGCGUUGUUCGGAAUCACUGGGCGUAAAGCGUGCGUAGGCUGUUUCGUAAGUCGUGUGUGAAAGGCGCGGGCUCAACCCGCGGACGGCACAUGAUACUGCGAGACGAGAGGAAUGGUGGGGGAACCGGAAUUCUCGGUGUAGCAGUGAAAUGCGUAGAUAUCGAGAGGAACACUCGUGGCGAAGGCGGGUUCCUGGACAUUAACUGACGCUGAGGCACGAAGGCCAGGGGAGCGAAAGGGAUUAGAUACCCCAGUAGUC
RNAcentral lists this ribosomal RNA (446 nucleotides) under uncultured bacterium. RNAcentral describes it as "partial 16S ribosomal RNA". It matches the Rfam family "Bacterial small subunit ribosomal RNA", at positions 338 to 795 of the family's 1533-position model. The record is from RNAcentral.